This 29-nucleotide non-coding RNA is filed under the name Homo sapiens (human). The record is from RNAcentral. Lineage: Eukaryota; Metazoa; Chordata; Mammalia; Primates; Hominidae.
UAUACCGAGACAUUCCAUUGCCCAGGGAC